GAUGAACGCUGGCGGCGUGCCUAAUACAUGCAAGUCGAGCGAACGGACGAGAAGCUUGCUUCUCUGGUGUUAGCGGCGGACGGGUGAGUAACACGUGGAUAACCUACCUAUAAGACUGGGAUAACUUCGGGAAACCGGAGCUAAUACCGGAUGAUAUUUUGAACCGCAUGGUUCAAAAGUGAAAGACGGUCUUGCUGUCACUUAUAGAUGGAUCCGCGCUGCAUUAGCUAGUUGGUAAGGUAACGGCUUACCAAGGCAACGAUGCAUAGCCGACCUGAGAGGGUGAUCGGCCACACUGGAACUGAGACACGGUCCAGACUCCUACGGGAGGCAGCAGUGGGGAAUCUUCCGCAAUGGGCGAAAGCCUGACGGGGCAACGCCGCGUGAGUGAUGAAGGUCUUCGGAUCGUAAAACUCUGUUAUUAGGGAAGAACAUAUGUGUAAGUAACUGUGCACAUCUUGACGGUACCUAAUCAGAAAGCCACGGCUAACUACGUG
RNAcentral lists this ribosomal RNA (497 nucleotides) under uncultured bacterium. RNAcentral's name for it is "partial 16S ribosomal RNA". It matches the Rfam family "Bacterial small subunit ribosomal RNA", at positions 28 to 507 of the family's 1533-position model. The record is from RNAcentral.